AAGAGAGGUGAAAAUUCCAAAGAAAUUACUAUUUGAUCGUAUCCAAGUCCCUACACCUGCAACCAAAGACCAAGUAGAAGAAGACGAUUAUGAUGAUGAUGAUGAAGAAGAAGAAGAAGAAGAAGACGAUGUUGAUAUGUGGUUCCACCUUCCAGAUGUUGUUUGCCAUUAAAAAACAAAAUUACACUAUACUAAAUACACAUAAACAAAAAAUGUAUUACAACAUUACUAAUAUGUCGAGAUAAUUAAAAAGCUUAAACACAAUUUUCACCCCCUAACUUUUAAAAUGUAGAGAUUUUGACCUCCUAUUAAAAAAUAUAGCAAAUGCCCCCCUUUAUGUUUAGACCCUUUUGCAAAACACCAAUUUUGAUCUGGUUAAUCCUAUGUGUCAUG
RNAcentral lists this long non-coding RNA (393 nucleotides) under Medicago truncatula (barrel medic). Its description in RNAcentral is "long non-coding RNA (MTRU_LNC001892)". The record is from RNAcentral. Lineage: Eukaryota; Viridiplantae; Streptophyta; Magnoliopsida; Fabales; Fabaceae.